UUUGCCAAAAUUUCUCCACCUUAAGUUUCACGCAUUUUUCUCUCUGGACGCCUCCUUUGACUUCUGAGGUCUGCUGAGAACGCACAUCAAGCCUUUUUUUGCAUCUCUGCCCUCUUUGUACUCAGAUCCUCAUCUUCAUCCCCAGCACAGGUUGGUCUAGCACUCAGAGAGGUAAGGUCCUCCUUUAAAGAUGCCACAGAGACCUCAAACUUCUGCAGCCUGUGGUAAGUUGGAAAUUGACUAUGCUGGACCUUUCGUUCUUAUGUUGCAAUUUCUCUGGUGCCAUCAGAAGCAGCCACCAUACUCCACAGUCAUUGUACUUCCCAUUGUUCUCAUAUUGAUUUAAGUUCCACAGCGACUUGCUCUCACAUUGAUUUCCUCUCCACCUGCACUUCAUGUCAGUUAACCAGUGGUGAAAAGCUGAAGCAAUUUUCUUUUUAUUGAGAUAAGAUUGCUUUGUAACAUCAUAUAAAUUUCAGGUGUACAUUGUUAUAUUUCGAUUUUCUUGUGGAUUAAAUCAUGUUCACUACCCAAAGACUAAUUACCAUCCAUCACCAUACAUAUGUGCCUAAUCACCUCUUUCACCUCUCUCCUCCCCACUUCCCCUCUGGUAACCACCAAUCCAAUCUCUAUCUCUAUGUGUUUGUUUGUCGUUGUUUUUAUAUUCUGAGUGAGAUCAUAUGGUAUUUGACAUUCUCCCUCGGACUUAUUUUGCUUAGCAUAAUACCCUCAAGUUCCAUCCAUAUUGUCACAAAUGGCAAGAUUUUGCCCUUUUUUAUGGCUGAGAAGUAUUCCAUUGUGUAGAUAUACCACAUCUUCUUUAUUCAUCCCUUGAUGGGCACCUAGGUUGCUUCCAAGUCUUGGCUGUUGUGACUAAUGCUACAACAAACAUAGGGGUGCAUGUAUCUUUACACAUUCAUGUGUUCAUGUUCUUUGGAUAAAUAUCCAAGAGUGGAAUAGCUGUAUCAUAUGGUAGUUCUAGUCUUAAUUUUUCGAAUAAUCUCUGUACUGUUUUCCAUAGUGGCUGCACGACUUUGCACUACCACCAGCAGUGUACGAGGAUUCCUUUUUCUCCACAUCCUCUCCAACACUUGUUAUUUAUUUUCUUGUUAAUUAUAGCCAUUCUGAAGAGUGUGAGGUGAUAUCUCAUUGUAGUUUUGAUUUGCAUUUCCCUGAUAAUUCGUGAUGUUGAACAUCUUUUCACGUGCCUGUUGGCCAUUGCAUAUCUUCUUUGGAAAAACGUCUGUUCAGAUCUUUUGCCCAUUUUUUAAUUGGUUUGUUAGUUUUUUUGUUAUUGACUUCUAUGAGUUCUUUAUAUAUUUUGGAUAGUAACCUCUUAUCUGAUAUAUGAUUUGGAAAUAGUUUCUCCAAUUGUUAAGUUGUCUUUUCAUUUUCUUGGUCAUUUCUCUUGCUGUACAGAAGCUUUUUAGUUUAGUUUAGGGUUUUGUUUUGCUUUGUUUUUGGCAGGGGAAGAUUCGCUAUGCUAACAUCUGUUGCCAAUCUUCUUCCUUCCUUUUUUUCUUCUUUUUCCCCUCUAAAGCCCCAGCACAUAGUUGUGUAUAGUUGUAAGUUCUUCCAGUUUUUCUGUAUGAGCCACCACCACAGCCUGGCUACUGAGAGACGAGUGGGUGUAGUUCCAUGCCUGGGAAGCAAACCUGGGCUUCCAAAGCAGAGUAUGCCAAACUUUAACAAUUAGGCCAUCAGGGCAGGCUCCAAAGUUUUUGGUUUGAUGUAGUCCCGUUUGUUGUUUUCUUCUAUCGUUUUCCCUGUCUGGUUAGACAUGGUACUUGAAAAUAUGCUGCUAAUACUGAUGUCGAAGAGCAUACUGGUGCCACUUCUUGUCAGAGGUUAUUACCAUCUUGUUUAUUGACAUAGACUGCAAGUUUGUGUCCCCCCAAAAUCCAGGUGUUGAGUCUCUAAUCCUCAAUGUGAUGGUAUUUGGAGAUGGGGCCUUGAGACAUGAUUAGGUUUAGAUGAGGUUAUGAGGGCACGGCCCCCAGCAUGGUAUUAAAGUCCCUCUAAAAGAGGAAGAGCCUUCUCUCUCUGCAUGCAUGCACAAGGAGAGGCCAUGUGAGGACACACUCAGGAAGAGGGUUCUCUCCAAGAAUACCACCACGCUGACAUCCUGAUCUUGGACUUACAGCCUCUAGGACUAUAAGAUGAGAAAUAAAAGUUUGUUCUUUAAGAUGCCCAGAUUAUGGCAUUUGUUAUAGCCUCUGGAGCUGACUAAGACACUUGCCAUCCACAGAGGGCUGCUACUGUUUUCAGAUAGAUAAGCAAUCCUACUGCAAAAUUCCAUCUUGAGGGCCUGCUUUUGAGAAACACUUCUGGCAUCAAUUGUCUUAGCCUCGGUCUUCCAUAAAGCAGAGACCAAGGAAAACCUCAAUAUGUGCACAGUUUGGGGAAGUUUCAAGCCUAAGGUGGUAAGCAUGUGGAAGAAAAGGAAAUGUGUGUUUCUUGGAGUGUGGGAUUAUGAAUGUACGCGAGGGGGAAAUUCAUACACACACAAAUCAGAACGAUCCACGGCAGGUGAGAAAGCAAGCUAAUUCAUGUACUUGGUUUCUUCUCAUCUCCCCUCUCUCAUUGGCUGUGGUUUACCCCAGGGGAGCUAGUUCCUCCACAGUUAUGGGGUGUAUCUUCUGAC
Molecule: long non-coding RNA, 2644 nt
Filed under: Equus caballus (horse)
Lineage: Eukaryota; Metazoa; Chordata; Mammalia; Perissodactyla; Equidae
Description: lncRNA (ENSECAG00000056119.1)
Source: RNAcentral